UUUCUUUUCUUACUUCUUUCUUUUCCAAACUUCUUGGGCACUAAACCUGCAGCUUCUAACCCCAAUUUCCAACACAUCUAAACCCUGGGAGAAGAAGAAAGAAAAAGAAAGAAAGGAAGAAAAGCUUGGUUUGUAAUUCAAGCAAGCUAAGCUUGAUGAUUAAUGUUUUGAAGGAAUAUUGGAGUGCAAGUACGGGUCAAGCAACCAUAAAGCGAGAUUCAUUUUCACUGCAACGAGAAAAUCUCGGGUAGGCAGCCUUAAUCCAUGCUCUGAAUUUUGCUGCAGCGAGAAACUCUUUGGUGGUUCUAAAAUUAUGGUGCAGUGCUUUCACUUUGACAACGAUUUUGACUACCUUUCGAUCAAAACUGGGCAAAGUGGAGAUGGUAUAAAUGUAGGUAAUUGUGGAUGUUUUUGCUCUGUGGAAUAUUAGAAAGAGAGAUUCAAAUUAUGCCUUUUUGAGGUUUCGGUUUGAGAAGGAGCAAAGCAGGGCAAUUCGCUAGGGGGAUGGAAUGGUGCUUUAUGGUAGGAGAAUCAUGGUCAGAAAGCUUUUGAGGUGGAAAGACUGAGGCGUGAUUUGCCAAUUGAUCAUGUAAAGUAAUCCAUUCCAAUCCACUUACAUUUAAAGAGGUAUUAAUUAAUACUCAUAAACAAUAGGCUAAGGUUAAAAGGGUGCAAUCAAUAAAGGUUGAAAAAAAAGCAUAAGCAAAGUAUCAAUGUGUUUAUACUUAAGAUGAAUGAUGAAUGAUUGAAGAAAAGUGCAUUGGGAUUAUUAAAAGAGGGGUAUUGUAUUAAGGUUGUGGAACAACAAUUGGCUACGAAGGGUAUAAUGGUUUGAAUUAAAGAAGUUGGGGGUUUGCAUAUGGUUAUCACACUCUAUAGUACUAAGGAAAUGGAAGUUUAUUGUCGAUUUU
Non-coding RNA from Theobroma cacao (cacao), 911 nucleotides. The record is from RefSeq and is a predicted model, not a curated record. NCBI's taxonomy places the organism in Eukaryota, Viridiplantae, Streptophyta, Magnoliopsida, Malvales, Malvaceae.